AUUGAACGCUGGCGGCAGGCCUAACACAUGCAAGUCGAACGGUAGCACAGAGAGCUUGCUCUCGGGUGACGAGUGGCGGACGGGUGAGUAAUGUCUGGGAAACUGCCCGAUGGAGGGGGAUAACUACUGGAAACGGUAGCUAAUACCGCAUAACGUCGCAAGACCAAAGAGGGGGACCUUCGGGCCUCUUGCCAUCGGAUGUGCCCAGAUGGGAUUAGCUUGUAGGUGAGGUAACGGCUCACCUAGGCGACGAUCCCUAGCUGGUCUGAGAGGAUGACCAGCCACACUGGAACUGAGACACGGUCCAGACUCCUACGGGAGGCAGCAGUGGGGAAUAUUGCACAAUGGGCGCAAGCCUGAUGCAGCCAUGCCGCGUGUAUGAAGAAGGCCUUCGGGUUGUAAAGUACUUUCAGCGGGGAGGAAGGGAGUGAGGUUAAUAACCUCAUUCAUUGACGUUACCCGCAGAAGAAGCACCGGCUAACUCCGUGCCAGCAGCCGCGGUAAUACGGAGGGUGCGAGCGUUAAUCGGAAUUACUGGGCGUAAAGCGCACGCAGGCGGUCUGUCAAGUCGGAUGUGAAAUCCCCGGGCUCAACCUGGGAACUGCAUUCGAAACUGGCAGGCUGGAGUCUUGUAGAGGGGGGUAGAAUUCCAGGUGUAGCGGUGAAAUGCGUAAAGAUCUGGAGGAAUACCGGUGGCGAAGGCGGCCCCCUGGACAAAGACUGACGCUCAGGUGCGAAAGCGUGGGGAGCAAACAGGAUUAGAUAUCCUGGUAGUCCACGCUGUAAACGAUGUCGACUUGGAGGUUGCUCCCUUGAGGAGUGGCUUCCGGAGCUAACGCGUUAAGUCGACCGCCUGGGAAGUACGGCCGCAAGGUUAAAACUCAAAUGAAUUGACGGGGGCCCGCACAAGCGGUGGAGCAUGUGGUUUAAUUCGAUGCAACGCGAAGAACCUUACCUACUCUUGACAUCCAGAGAACUUAGCAGAGAUGCUUUGGUGCCUUCGGGAACUCUGAGACAGGUGCUGCAUGGCUGUCGUCAGCUCGUGUUGUGAAAUGUUGGGUUAAGUCCCGCAACGAGCGCAACCCUUAUCCUUUGUUGCCAGCGAUUCGGUCGGGAACUCAAAGGAGACUGCCAGUGAUAAACUGGAGGAAGGUGGGGAUGACGUCAAGUCAUCAUGGCCCUUACGAGUAGGGCUACACACGUGCUACAAUGGCAUAUACAAAGAGAAGCGACCUCGCGAGAGCAAGCGGACCUCAUAAAGUAUGUCGUAGUCCGGAUUGGAGUCUGCAACUCGACUCCAUGAAGUCGGAAUCGCUAGUAAUCGUGGAUCAGAAUGCCACGGUGAAUACGUUCCCGGGCCU
This 1361-nucleotide ribosomal RNA is filed under the name uncultured bacterium. RNAcentral's name for it is "bacterial SSU rRNA". It matches the Rfam family "Bacterial small subunit ribosomal RNA", at positions 28 to 1381 of the family's 1533-position model. The record is from RNAcentral.